Molecule: non-coding RNA, 111 nt
Filed under: Selenihalanaerobacter shriftii
Lineage: Bacteria; Bacillati; Bacillota; Clostridia; Halanaerobiales; Halobacteroidaceae
Description: SAM-I sequence
Rfam family: SAM riboswitch aptamer (S box leader)
About the family: The SAM riboswitch is found upstream of a number of genes which code for proteins involved in methionine or cysteine biosynthesis in Gram-positive bacteria. The SAM riboswitch acts at the level of transcription termination control.
Source: Rfam by way of RNAcentral
CUCUUAUCAAGAGUGGUGGAGGGACUGGCCCUAUGAAGCCCGGCAACCAGUAUUCAUUUAGAAUAAAAUGGUGCCAAUUCUUGCAAUCUUAUUAAGAUUGACAGAUGAGAG